UGCGUAGGCGGGGCAAUUAGUCAGUGGUGAAAUCCUGCGGCUUAACCGUAGAACUGCCAUUGAUACUGUUGUCCUUGAGUAUAGUUGAGGUGGGCGGAAUGUGUAAUGUAGCGGUGAAAUGCAUAGAGAUUACACAGAACACCAAUUGCGAAGGCAGCUCACUAAGCUAUAACUGACGCUGAGGCACGAAAGCGUGGGGAGCGAACAGGAUUAGAUACCCUGGUAGUC
RNAcentral lists this ribosomal RNA (228 nucleotides) under uncultured bacterium. RNAcentral's name for it is "partial 16S ribosomal RNA". It matches the Rfam family "Bacterial small subunit ribosomal RNA", at positions 568 to 795 of the family's 1533-position model. The record is from RNAcentral.